AGAGAGAGACAUGCGCGCAUAUCAAUAAGCGGAGGAAAAGAAACUAACAAGGAUUCCCUUAGUAACGGCGAGUGAAGCGGGAAGAGCUCAAAUUUGAAAUCUUCAAGGUUUUACCUUGACGAAUUGUAGUUUAAAGAAGUGUUUUCUGCUGAAGUUUUGGUAAAAGUUCUUUGGAAUAGGACAUCAUAGAGGGUGGGAAUCCCGUAUUUGACCAUUAUUUUCAGCUUUGUGAUACACUUUCAAAGAGUCGGAUUGUUUGGGAAUGCAGUCCAAAAUGGGUGGUAAAUUUCAUCUAAAGCUAAAUAUUGGCGAGAGACCGAUAGCGAACAAGUACCGUGAGGGAAAGAUGAAAAGAACUUUGAAAAGAGAGUUAAACAGUACGUGAAAUUGUCAAAAGGGAAGCGUUUGACACCAGUGUUGUUUUCUCGAAAAUCAAUUAAAAAUGGCUCGAUUUUGUAUUGUUGAGACCUUAAAAGCUCACUGUACAUUUUUCGUGUCUUUUUAAUGCACUUUUCGUUUAACAAGUCAACAUCAGUUUCUUUUGUUGUAAAAGGGUCAUUGGAAGGUGGCUUUCUUUUCGGAGAAAGUGUUUAUAGCCUUUGGCCUCUGCAAUCGGAGAGAUUGAGGUCUGCAGCGUAGAUCCUUCGGGGUUAGAUACAUUUGUGCUAAGUUAUAGCCUUUCAUAGACAACUUGUUGACUAUAAUUAGUCUUGUAGCUUACUCGCUUAUGCUAUUUUACCUACGCUUAGGAUGUUGAGUCGUAGAGCACGCAG
Molecule: ribosomal RNA, 773 nt
Filed under: uncultured Neocallimastigales
Lineage: Eukaryota; Fungi; Neocallimastigomycota; Neocallimastigomycetes; Neocallimastigales
Description: partial large subunit ribosomal RNA
Rfam family: Eukaryotic large subunit ribosomal RNA
Source: RNAcentral